Long non-coding RNA from Zalophus californianus (California sea lion), 426 nucleotides. RefSeq lists it as uncharacterized. The record is from RefSeq and is a predicted model, not a curated record. Lineage: Eukaryota; Metazoa; Chordata; Mammalia; Carnivora; Otariidae. The transcript has 3 exons.
UAGGUCUGGAGGCAAUGGAGAAGUGACUUGAGGACAUUUGGCUUACCCAAUGCAAGGCAACCCUUCAGGCAAAUAAGUCCUCCAAAAUGGUACAAUGUGAUCUGCCAUACCCUGAGCCUGCCAUUCUUUCUCACUUGCCCUCAUCUAAUUUGGACUUGGAGCCCUCUGAAUUCCAACUGAAUGAAGACCUUGUUUUCUGUGCACACCGAGCUGUCUGAACAUUUGGAAAAAAACGUUGGCCUUGCAUGGACACUGAGUAGAACAAAAUAAACAACAAGCCAUCCCUCUGUCGAAGAAGACAAUAUUCUGCCCAAUCUCCAGCUUAGAAGAACACACAAGACUCUGUCUUCCUAAGGACCAGCAAGGAUUUGAACUCUGACGAGGUUCCUUGUAUCUCAUUGCUGAACUUAUUUUGUUAUCCUAAGA